GUACCUACACAUGUCCCAAACAACUCAAAAAUCAGACCUAGGGCCUACUUGGUCAAUUUCAGAAUUCCGACGAUGGCACGGUGGCGAUCCGCCUCGGGUUGGCUGUUUCUGGCCAUUUUCGGCCAAAUUCAGCUAAACUUGCAUUGGUUCCUGUGAGAAAACACACCUAGGGCCCUCGGUGGGCCCAAAAAACACAGAAAAUCAAAACUUACCGGUGGUGGAGCUCUCCGGUGCGGCGGCUCCUCCAGCUCACGUCGCGGUUUGGUGUUUUGCUCUAGUCAACCUAUCGAGGAGGGAACAGUGGUCACAUUGGUGGAAAAAUUACAUCGAACGGGAAUCAGGAAGGGCCUCAUCGGAGCCAAAAAUUGAGACAACCUACGGCGGCGCCGCUGGGCUUCGGCGGCGUUUUUCGGCCAAUUAGCCGGUGUUUUUGCUCUGAUUUGGCCAUAGGUGGGUUGAGAAUCGAAUUCUGAGCCAAGGAGAGAAUUUUUACCUCGUUUGGCAGCCAAAAAUUGCUCUAGUGUAGCGGCGGGUGGCGGCGGUCGACUCCCCAACAGCUGGGCUGUCAUCUCCGGCGAGGGGCUCUGGCAGCUAGGGUUAGGGUUUGGGUGCAGAUGAGAUUAUUUAUAACCAUCCACUUUUAAUUUGAGCCAUCCAUCAAGAUUCAAUCUAGACUGUCUGAUCAUGAUUAAAUAGAAAAUGAAUCUGGGUCGUUCGGGCGCGUGCAAUCUGGGCCAUCCGUGCGCGUUUUUUGAUCUAGGUCGUCUGUGCGUGCGGGAACGAAUUUCAGUCAUUCGAUCGCGCGCACGCGGAUCACCCACGUGUCUCCCUUCCGCGUGGCCUCCCGCGUCAGCGUCUUUGCCAUGCAGCGCGUCCUGGUUGGCCGGGGCUGCUGACCAGGAAGCUGACGUGGAGCAAUUUUUUUAAAUUGCAUUUUGAGCAUUGAUUUUUAAUUUUUCUUUCAAAAAUACCC
Molecule: long non-coding RNA, 973 nt
Filed under: Carica papaya (papaya)
Lineage: Eukaryota; Viridiplantae; Streptophyta; Magnoliopsida; Brassicales; Caricaceae
Description: long non-coding RNA (CPAP_LNC003729)
Source: RNAcentral